AGCAGCCGCGGUAAUUCCAGCUCCAAUAGCGUAUAUUAAAGUUGUUGCAGUUAAAAAGCUCGUAGUUGAAUUUCGGGAUCAGUUGGUCGGUCGUGCCUCGGUACGUACUGGUCAAAUUGAUUCCUACCUUCUGACGAACCACGAUGUCAUUAAUUUGGUGUCGCGGGAAAUCAGGACUGUUACUUUGAAAAAAUUAGAGUGUUUAAAGCAGGCUCGCGCUUGAAUACAUUAGCAUGGAAUAAUGAAAUAGGACGUUUGAUUCUAUUUUGUUGGUUUCUAGGAUCGACGUAAUGAUUAAUAGGGAUAGUUGGGGGCAUUAGUAUUCAAUUGUCAGAGGUGAAAUUCUUGGAUUUAUUGAAGACUAACUACUGCGAAAGCAUUUGCCAAGGAUGUUUUCAUUAAUCAAGAACGAAAGUUAGGGGAUCGAAGACGAUCAGAUACCGUCGUAGUCUUAACCAUAAACUAUGCCGACUAGGGAUCGGAUGAUGUUAAUUUUUUAAUGACUCAUUCGGCGCCUUACG
This 521-nucleotide ribosomal RNA is filed under the name uncultured Glomeraceae. RNAcentral's name for it is "SSU rRNA". It matches the Rfam family "Eukaryotic small subunit ribosomal RNA", at positions 569 to 1092 of the family's 1831-position model. Lineage: Eukaryota; Fungi; Glomeromycota; Glomeromycetes; Glomerales; Glomeraceae. The record is from RNAcentral.